Ictalurus furcatus (blue catfish) is the source of this 2291-nucleotide long non-coding RNA. RefSeq lists it as uncharacterized. The transcript has 2 exons. Lineage: Eukaryota; Metazoa; Chordata; Actinopteri; Siluriformes; Ictaluridae. The record is from RefSeq and is a predicted model, not a curated record.
GUGCAGGUCAUCGUUCUAGACGUCCAUUAUCAUCGUACCUAAAAAUUAAAACCACUCUCAAGGCAUCGGUGCAUCUAGGAUGGACCUGGUUAUAUUCAUUAAUGAAAGAUGUUGCCUCACGUAUACAGUUAAUGCUUAAUUGCAUCGCGGCUUCCAGUUGAACCCUGUUGCUCCGUCAUUAACAUAUAAAAACCCUGCUGUAAAUUUAGCUCAUUUGCAUCUGGCUUGAUUAAUUCAGUACCACGGACCACUCUUAAGAGACUCCAGCUCUCUCGUAAACUCGUUUGCUCAUUAGUCUUUUAGGAAGCGGUGUAUUAGGAUAACAUCUGUACACCAGUUCUCUGAUGUGCUGAGGAACCUGAACCAGCAGGUACAGGUGCACUGCGCUUUAGUGCUCUGGAUUCUCGCAGUGUAUUUGAAUUUGUGUGAGAAAAUGGUCAGAAAUUGUGUUUAACACAUUCAAAAAGACUGGAAGUGUUGUGGACCAGCCGAGAACCUGGUGCUGGGGAACAGUCCAUAUGCGUGGCGAUUUUGGGACACCCUGUAUUGUUUUUUUGUUUUUAAUAAGAGAACCGUAGCUAGGUGCACUUCAUCACAUUUGAUCUAAGGUUAAGGGGAACACUAGAGAGCGCUUUUCUGACGUUUUUUUUUUCAACCAUGCACUUGGAGCACCAAGUCCUCCAGUAGCCCACACACACACACACACACACACACACACACAUAUUCACACACUUUUAUUUCAACAUGUCAUGCCCUGAAAUUUCACCAGUAAACUCAAGUACGCACGACAUACUGAAUAUAAUCGCUUGAAAUAUCGUAGUGAAACUCCAUGUGAAAAGUUAUGACUUGCUGGACGAAAAUCACGUGCAAAGUCAAAUAAAUAAAUAAAUAAAUAAAGCAAUAAAGCAUACGUGCAUAAGUGUGUGAACCAUAACAUGCAGUGCCUACAGUACGAGCACGUUUUAGUGAGUCACGUGAUUCCCCUAGAGGACGCACGCUAUUUCAUACGUCAUGGAUGUUCGUGUGUGAGACAGAAUGACGUCAGAGUUGUUUGUUGAACCUAUAGAUGGCGGAAGACUCCCUUCCGUGUCACGCGCUUUAUUCCAGUCUUGACUUAAUUUCGGUUUGAAGCAGAAAAAAAAAAAGCAAAACUGUAGCUGGGAAAAGUUGAACACACGCAUUGGCAUGCCUCGAAAUCGAAAUGUGCAUGAAGCUGCGCGCGCGGAUCAGCGUUCUGGGUUAAAAAGCGUGCUGUUCUCGUGCUGCAGAGGCGCGCGCGCUCCACUCCAUGGAUGAGUCCUCUGCCUGCGUCUCGCGCACCAAAUCUCCGUUUUCUCUCUCUCUGACCGCUCAGUUGUUUUUUUGUUUUUUUGUUUUUCUCCGCAACGCUUCAUGACAUGACAUGACAGACGCUCGAGCUGGAUUUGCUUUCUUUUCUUCUUCUUCUUCUCUUCUCUUCUUCUUCUUCUUUUUUUUUUUAUACUUCUUUCCGACGUCAUCUGCUCUUCUCACGCGACGAUCAGAGGCUGGAUAACGGGACGUCUCUUAGUCGCGCGCACGGUAAGCAGGACAAAGAGACUAGCUGUCUGAAGGAGAUGUCAGAGAUAGUCACUGGAACCUUCUUAGAGAAACGCGAUGACCACAGAUGACCCAGCGGACAUUGGGAUAAUCCUGGAAGGCGUGGAGGUGCUCAGCAAGUUACCUAGUGUACCCUUUGCAGUGGCAAUGCUUCUGGGUCUUAUAUAUGCACUCAACCUAAAUUAUCCACCAGAGCUUAGGUAUAUAUUUACACUCGGAAAAGUCAGUCAGAAAAUGAUGGGACUGGAUGGAAACAUGCACUAAAAUCCAAGCUGCUUUGUUAUGAAGUCAUCGAAUACAUGAUUUUAAAACAUUGAGGCUUGUUUUUUUUUUUUUUUUCCGGAAAGACUUUUUUUGUACUCAGAUUUGUUCAAGUGAUUCUUGUGGUGUUCUUGCUGUUUUUUUUGUUUGUUUUGUUUUGUGUUUUAAAUGUGUAUGUUAGGAACAACCACAAGAAGAAGCAUGUGAAAAUGUAAAGCCUUGUUCAGGGCAUGUUAUAAAAUGCAAGUUAACGUUUUGGAAAAUCUCUGAAGGCGAAAUACUCGAGCACAGUUUUGAAAUGUAAUGCAUUACAGUUUGUCUGUUUCGAAGGCCAGAUUUGAACGCUGUUGGAUUCUUUGUGACUGUUGAACGUUGUAAACCAGAUCUAGAAUGUAGUACCUUGUUCAGUAUGUUUUAAGAAAUACAAACUGAAGUUUUUGCAAGUCUCUGAA